Long non-coding RNA from Misgurnus anguillicaudatus (oriental weatherfish), 2297 nucleotides. RefSeq lists it as uncharacterized. The record is from RefSeq and is a predicted model, not a curated record. Lineage: Eukaryota; Metazoa; Chordata; Actinopteri; Cypriniformes; Cobitidae.
CUGCGUUUUCUCUUUAUUGACAAGAUAACUUCUGAAAAGAGCUGAAAAAAAUAAUUUCGCAUUGGCAAUGGAAAGUCAAGCACUAUGGGAGCACUAGUGCAUUAUGGGAUACUUUUAAGGGCUCAUUAUAGUUUUACGUAGGUCCUACGGCAUAGCCUUGACGGCGUAGGCUACGACCUGCAAUUACACAUGCAGACAACUAGGAGGCAGUGUCCACUCCGGAAACCCACAGUAGGACGCAAGGGGUUCUUGUGGACCAAUCACAGCGUUUGUGGUCCGUGUAGAACAGACGCGUUGUUAAAAUUUUAGCAAGGUGCAUGUCAGGCUACGAUGUAGAACCUAUGCACUUUACACUUUAGUGAAGUCCAAUAGCCUACUGUAGUACACUGCACAUCUGGGUAGUGGUGUGGUAGUUAAAACCAAUCACAAAGAAACAUUAACCCGAUAGUAACUGCCCACAACUACUGCACCUGAGUCCCCUACAUAUCUUCUCAGUGUCUUCUCAAGGUGACGAUGGGUAACCACCUGCUGGUGGUAACCCAUCUUUAACCUACACCCUUUUAUUCCCUUCCUUUAUCAGCUCAACCCCAACAAACUCUCAUGCAUUAUCUUGCAGAUUGAUUGGCUAAAGACCGAUCAAUCAAACGUGACUGAUUUUCUCCCCGCCCUCCAACCCUCGUGGCGCGGAAUGGACCAAUCGCUACCCAUGCUCGGGAAUUUCCACUCUCAUUGAUCAGCGCGUGCUUUGACGCAGUCACCGUCCACCCUCCGGACAUCACGACCGACAACAGCAGGUCAAAAUGACACAGACAUCGCAUGCAUAUAGAAUAUAAUAUAUAGAUGAUAUCGUUUGAAGGAGACUGUGGCCUCGCGCAUCUCCACCUCGCGUGGUGCGUCACAGCAUCGCCAUAUAUUUUCACACUGACUGGAACAAAUUGUCUCAUGAUAAGACUUUUAGAUUGCAAAUCGGGUCAUCGCAAGGUCAAAAUAACACGGACUGGAUGCGUUUGGUGACAUUAAAUCUGGUCUCCAUAGCAACAGCUGCUAAGUAACCUUGCCCCCAAUCAUGUCAGUAAGACAUUGAGAGAAUGAUGGAGUUGUGGGGUUGAAGGACGUGUUUAAUUAACCUCUCAAAGCCAGGAAUUCUCAUUGCAGUCCCAGCUGAGGACUCAGCCAAUCAGUGAAGAGAUGCUGUGAAUGUCCUUGCCAACGACCUUGAUGAACAGAAAAUAGGAUGACAGAAAACAAGUGUGAAAAGCAUUGAUAAUGCUUUUGAGUCAGAGGAAGAGUGAGUGAUGGGUAAAAGGAAAAAAAGAGAGAGAGAUUAAUGGAGGGAUGCUGAUAGGGAAACACACCAACCCGGCUGGUGAGCGCACUCGGCAUCCCCCAUCUCUCCUCCAUCCCCUCCCCUCCCUUGCCUGUCUCUACAUCUCACCUCCUCCCCCAUUCCCUGACUACAUCUAUGUGCGUAAAUGUUUCAUAAUCUCUGUAUUUGUACUCAAAGGGCUUCAGGCUGAAAGAAAAAACACAUCAAUGAAAGAGCCGGGCUUGCUCUCUUUCUCUCUCCUCUGCUCCUUACACAUGGAUGAGUUUGACAGGUGGUCUUCCCGAGCAAUAACACAUUAAUACACAGAGCAAUAAAACACACACACAAAGUACACAGGGGUGAACCUAUAAUAUGUGCCACCCUUAUAAAACAAGAAAUGCAUUUUGUAAUAAGCAAAUGGAAGCAGACUUUCCAUGUAUCAUAGUUGUGCGCUUACUAAGGUAAGUGCCUUAAACAUACUUUCUGCUAGUACAACCAGCUCACCCAAAACCAUUCAUGUGUGCAUCCUUGUUAAACAUACACUAAAUAUUGAUUUCACAUAGAUUUCAAUCUUGGUCAUGAUCUGACUCAGUCAAUAUUAAAGAUAUCAUGUUCAUUACAUUAUGCUGUCCAUUAUUACACCUGUCCAAAACAUAAUGUCUAAUAUAUAUCUUUAUACCCUGAUACAAUUAUCACUUUUGUGUGGCUAUGGCAAAAAAAAGUCACAAAUCUGAAUUUGAUGCUUUAUAUUUAGCUAUAAAGAAGUCACUUGAAUUGUUUAACUUUUUAAUUUUUCCAGAAAUGAAUGACACAUUUAUUUACAUUGAAGAGCAUAGGCCAUAACUAAAGAAGUGUAUUUCAUUUAUUUGAAUAUUUUAAAAUAUUUAUGGAUGGGACGGUAUGAAAAGUUCAUAUCAUGACCAAAGUUAUCACGGUUAUCAAUAUUAUCAUGGUUUUGUUAAAAUUAGAUGGAAAUGCUCAAAAAGAACUG